UGGUGGGGUGACUUGUCUGCUUAAUUGCGAUAACGAACGAGACCUUAACCUGCUAAAUAGCCCGCAUUGCUCCGGCAGUGCGCUGGGCUUCUUAGAGGGACUUUCGGCUCAAGCCGAAGGAAGUUUGAGGCAAUAACA
RNAcentral lists this ribosomal RNA (138 nucleotides) under uncultured eukaryote. RNAcentral describes it as "partial 18S ribosomal RNA". It matches the Rfam family "Eukaryotic small subunit ribosomal RNA", at positions 1299 to 1458 of the family's 1831-position model. The record is from RNAcentral.